RNAcentral lists this long non-coding RNA (693 nucleotides) under Citrus sinensis (sweet orange). Its description in RNAcentral is "long non-coding RNA (CSIN_LNC005360)". The record is from RNAcentral. Lineage: Eukaryota; Viridiplantae; Streptophyta; Magnoliopsida; Sapindales; Rutaceae.
GAAAAAGUGCAUUUAAGUGAUAGAAUACUGUCAACCUAUAGCACGAAUAGGGGUUAAACAAAGUAAAUCCCUACCUUUACAUGUCAAAUAAAAGACUUUCAUAAUAUCAAAUAUCAAAACUCAUGUCUAGUAAAGGAUUCCCCAAUGCUGGCUCUCAAAAUUGCUUUUGUUUCAUGGAUGAGAUGAUGGUUUUUGUGGAUAUUCUGCUCAACUUGGAUUAUGACUUGGGUCAGAUCCCAACUUGCUGCAAAGCUCACCUGACUAAAUCUUAGUUGAUUUGCUUUUCCAAACUAAAUCCAAGCAAGUAAGUACAAGAGAUAAAAGCAAAAGUUCAAGCAUCUCAUUUGAGCCUGUCACUAACAAAUGGUCGAUGAGCAAUGUCUAGCUAUGAAUGAGCAACAGAAUCAAUAAACAGACAGACAAAAAAUAAUAAUCAAGUCAUCUGUAUAUGUAUGAUCAUUCAUUUCUCAAUCAACCACCAAAUUGAUGUCAACAAAGCCAUGAGGAUUGUCUCAGCAGUCUUUCAUUUUCCCUCUCUUUAGGCCAGAGACCAGUAAACCAUUUGAAAUAUGGAUGUGCAAACCAGUAAAUAAAUCAUGAAGUUACACACUAGUCUGCUUUCGCACUCAUUCAGAACUAUCAAUGAUACUUACUGCAGGUACGGUGUAUACAUUAUACUAAAGUGAAGGCUGG